GCACACAGGAAAUCAGAACUGAUGCAUUUGGUGGAGAAAACAAUAUUAAUUCAAUCAGUGGUUCCACAGGUGGACAAAUACCUGAGCACUACACAUCAAAAGCUUGGCAAAUUCAUGUCUACUUAAAUGUUUGUGUGUAUGUCUGUAUAAGUUAUUGUUAGACAUUUAAUGAGCUGUUAAUUUAACUAAAACAACUUCCCAGUUAUUUGACUCAGUAAUUUACCAAUGGAAAUGAG
Long non-coding RNA from Phyllostomus discolor (pale spear-nosed bat), 236 nucleotides. RefSeq lists it as uncharacterized. The transcript is spliced from 4 exons. The record is from RefSeq and is a predicted model, not a curated record. NCBI's taxonomy places the organism in Eukaryota, Metazoa, Chordata, Mammalia, Chiroptera, Phyllostomidae.